This 73-nucleotide transfer RNA is filed under the name Bos taurus (domestic cattle). It matches the Rfam family "tRNA". Rfam says of the family: Transfer RNA (tRNA) molecules are approximately 80 nucleotides in length. Lineage: Eukaryota; Metazoa; Chordata; Mammalia; Artiodactyla; Bovidae. RNAcentral also lists the same sequence under 1 other name. The record is from Rfam by way of RNAcentral.
UCCCUGGUGGUCCAGUGGUUAAGACUCCACACUCCAAAUGCAGGGGGCAUGGGUUCAACCCCUGGUCAGGGAA